AUAGAUUUAACACUAUGAUCCAAAACUUGAUUUCAAGAUUAAAACCUCAACAUUCAUCCAUAUAGUAAAUUUCCUUGCAUAUGCUUCAAGUAAUCUAAACAUGCUCAAAUCCUCAUCAAUUGCUAUUAAAAAAUCUGCAUUAUAAAGUUUAAAGGUUACCUGAGUCGCAGAAAAUAAAUAUAGCAGUGAAGAAUGAGAGCUCAGCAACAGAAAGCGAUAGAGAACAACAGCAAAAUCAGCAGAAAUCCAGCAGCAAAUCGUGUUUAAAUAGUCCGAAAAAUUUAGAGAAGAAAACCAGAACUAACUCUAAAGAAGACUUCUACUUUUCUAAAGUUUGCACUCUAAGAUUCACUCACAAAGCGUAAAAAUUUUCAGCUUACUAAAGUAUUCAGCUGCUGAUUUUUUGUUCAACCAUAUAUGUGUUCAAGCAACUCUCAAGAUCUCUCUCAGUGUAAGAUAGAGUGUGUGUUUUUAUAGGAGAAGAGUAGCCCUUUAAAUAAGCAAAUAAAGUCAAAUUUUUUGGACAGAUUUUGGUUCACCAAAAGUCUAACUUUGUGUGCUAAACACUGUUCAAAAGAUGUAAAAAAAGAAGUAUUAUAUUUGUCACCACAUAAUGACUUUUGAGUUUUGUACUCCAAAGUCUUUGCACAGUAAAAAAAAACCAAAUUUGUACUAUUCCUUCUUUAAUUUCGGCUUUUAUCAACAUAAAAUUUAAAUACUCAAAUCCAAUAUAAAUAAAUUCCCUAAGCGCUUGAAAAAUUUAUUAUCAACUAUCAUGACUAAGUGAAUAGCUAUUUCAAAGCUAAUGAAUAACUAAUUAUCAGUGAUUAAUUACUAUGAACGACUAAGCUAACAUAGAUUAAACACAACUAAUAAUAAAAAUAUAAAUAAUAAUAAUAAAAAUAAAAACAAAAAUCAUAAAUUAUGCUAAACAUAAACUAACUACAAUACAAUUAGUAAAAAUAGACAAAGGAAACAAGAAUAAGGGUAUACCAAACGAGGGCAUUCGGGGUGGUCGUCGAAAUUUGGCCGGAUUUUUAGUUGCCGGAUUUUCGGGAUGGAAUUGACAUCAAUAGGUAGGUCUUGAUGAUCUCUAUCCGUUGAUGUAGGUAUUGUGGGGGUGGUAGUGGCCGGAACUUCAAGAUUUUGGGCAAAAAAAAUGGAGGCUAAAGUUUCCUAGGUCUAAAAUUCAAGGAGUUUGAGGGGUUUUUGAAGGAUUUGGUUUGGAGAUAUGGAAAGAGGAGGUUGUGGAGAUUACAUGGUGUGAAUUUAGGGGUGUUUGGAGGUUGACCGCCGCCGGUGGGUGAUUUUCGACGGCGGAGAGAAGAGAGAGAGAGAAGAGAGAAAGAGUUAUGG
This 1356-nucleotide long non-coding RNA is filed under the name Nicotiana tabacum (common tobacco). RNAcentral describes it as "long non-coding RNA (NTAB_LNC007975)". The record is from RNAcentral. Lineage: Eukaryota; Viridiplantae; Streptophyta; Magnoliopsida; Solanales; Solanaceae.